Vicia villosa (hairy vetch) is the source of this 344-nucleotide long non-coding RNA. RefSeq lists it as uncharacterized. The record is from RefSeq and is a predicted model, not a curated record. The transcript has 3 exons. NCBI's taxonomy places the organism in Eukaryota, Viridiplantae, Streptophyta, Magnoliopsida, Fabales, Fabaceae.
AAGAAGAUGAAAAGGAGCUAGAACACUCAUCUUUUCAAGAAAAGUUGGAUAAAGAGCUCAAAUAAUUGGAUAAGAAACUUGAACAAAAUGAGGCAUCAUUAUGAAAAGAAACUCCUUGAGAUGGAACAAGAAAAGAAAAUUUUGCAGGUAGGUAUCGGAACUGAAGAAUAAACAAGAAGCUCAGGCUCAAGUCUUGAAACAAAAAUAGAAGACUGAUAAGGCUACAAAACAACUUCAAGAUGAGAUCCACAGAGUUAUAUCCCAAAAGGUGGGCAUGCUGAUCAUAGUAUUUAGGGUGAUAUCCUCUGAUGGAACCAAAACCUUGGAAACAGCCAAUGCGCACC